This 322-nucleotide ribosomal RNA is filed under the name uncultured bacterium. RNAcentral's name for it is "bacterial SSU rRNA". It matches the Rfam family "Bacterial small subunit ribosomal RNA", at positions 1190 to 1510 of the family's 1533-position model. The record is from RNAcentral.
UCAUCAUGGCCCUUACGGCCAGGGCUACACACGUGCUACAAUGGUCGGUACAAAGGGUUGCUACACAGCGAUGUGAUGCUAAUCUCAAAAAGCCGAUCGUAGUCCGGAUUGGAGUCUGCAACUCGACUCCAUGAAGUCGGAAUCGCUAGUAAUCGCGGAUCAAGAAUGCCCGCGGUGAAUACGUUCCCGGGCCUUGUACACACCGCCCGUCACACCAUGGGAGUUUGUUGCACCAGAAGUAGGUAGUCUAACCGCAGGAGGACCCUUACCACGGUGUGGCCGAUGACUGGGGUGAAGUCGUAACAAGGUAGCCGUAGGGGAA